Long non-coding RNA from Vitis vinifera (wine grape), 1198 nucleotides. RefSeq lists it as uncharacterized. The record is from RefSeq and is a predicted model, not a curated record. Lineage: Eukaryota; Viridiplantae; Streptophyta; Magnoliopsida; Vitales; Vitaceae. The transcript has 4 exons.
AGGAGGUUUCUCUCGAAUUCUGGAUUGAAUCUUAGAUCACUCUCCCUUCCUUAAUUUCAACUAGUGUCAAGGUUGAUCCUUGAUUGUUCAGGUGUUUUGUAAUUUCUGGAAGGGGGUUUGGCCGGCCCCAUUGUUUAGUUUAGGUUCAAUUGUGGGAAGCUUGAGACGCCUCUCCAUGAGUGGCACUGGUGCACCAGGCCUUUACGGAUAAAACAUUCAUUCUGCUUGUUCCUCUAACUUCAGGAAGAGCUGAAUGCAACAGCUAGUGCUUGAAAUCCAGAAUUCUCCUAUUGUGAGACAAAAUUGCUUAAAGGAGAAAGGAGAAAAUUUGGAUCAGCAUUGCCUACAUCUCCAACAUUCAACAACAUGACCUCAUUGGAAAUAUGAAUUUAUAUUGAAUUGUGUUAUUCCUACAGUAGAAGUUGAGAGAUAGACCAUUCUUUCCUGUAGCUAGGCGGGAGAAAAAUGAUGCAGUGGCAGACUAAGUUCCUAACAAAAGUAUGACGGUAUAUUAUUGACUCAAUCAUAGUUGAUGGUUUUCCUUUUUGUUUGUUGAGUAGAAUUCGUAGGUUUCUUUGUUGUGUAAGUCAUAUUUUCAUGCCAUUGUAUUUGUACCACCAGCUCAAGUGUUUCUUAAUUAGAAUUUCAAUGAGCACUUUUAUAGUUCAUUGUUUGUGUAUAUGUGAGUGUUGACAAGCAUUUCACAUUGGGGGCAAUGAUCACAUUUGCAAUGCUUGGGUUAGCCAUAUUCUAUUAAGUUGGGCUAACCCUUUUUUCCUUUUUUUUGGGUACUUCCUGAAUAUAAGGUGGUAGGUGGUAGAAGCUUGAUGGAUUUGCCAUGCAAUGACUUUUCUGCUAGUUGAUGGCAUAAAAAUGAAAGGAAUUUUGACGCUUAUGGCUCUCCAAGAAGAACUCAACUUAAGGACGUCAAUGUUGUGCUUUUACAUUUGUAGUGGCUCAAGAAAAAUCAACCGUCUUUGGUUUCGGUGCUUAGUGUAGAAUGUAAGAAAUGUGAAGUUUGUUUUCUCCUUAAACAUUAGUAGCAGAUGUUUUUGUAGGAUUUGGUUUUCUAGUAUGGUGAUUUGAACAUUUUUAUUUCCUUAAAAGUUGUAAUACCUCAAGUUUUUUUUCCUUUCUUUUUAAAAAGAAAUUUGUGAGAAUAUUGUAAUUUCCUUUUUACCAUAGUGGAUUAUUUCUA